RNAcentral lists this ribosomal RNA (465 nucleotides) under uncultured bacterium. RNAcentral describes it as "partial 16S ribosomal RNA". It matches the Rfam family "Bacterial small subunit ribosomal RNA", at positions 338 to 795 of the family's 1533-position model. The record is from RNAcentral.
CCUACGGUAGUCAGCAGUAGGGAAUCUUCCACAAUGGGCGAAAGCCUGAUGGAGCAACGCCGCGUGGGUGAAGAAGGUCUUCGGAUCGUAAAACCCUGUUGUUAGAGAAGAAAGUGCGUGAGAGUAACUGUUCACGUUUCGACGGUAUCUAACCAGAAAGCCACGGCUAACGACGUGCAAGCAGCCGCGUGAAUACGUAGGUGGCAAGCGUUAUCCGGAUUUAUUGGGCGUAAGGGGAACGCAGGCGGUCUUUUAAGUCUGAUGUGAAAGCCUUCGGCUUAACCGGAGUAGUGCAUUGGAAACUGGAAGACUUGAGUGCAGAAGAGGAGAGUGGAACUCCAUGUGUAGCGGUGAAAUGCGUAGAUAUAUAGAAGAACACCAGUGGCGAAAGCGGCUCUCUGGUCUGUAACUGACGCUGAGGUUCGAAAGCGUGGGUAGCAAACAGGAUUAGAUACCCGGGUAGUC